GAGGGGCCCGCGUCUGAUUAGCUAGUUGGUGAGGUAACGACUCACCAAGGCAACGAUCAGUAUCCGGCCUGAGAGGGCGGACGGACACACUGGGACUGAGACACGGCCCAGACUCCUACGGGAGGCAGCAGUGGGGAAUUGUUCGCAAUGGGCGCAAGCCUGACGACGCAACGCCGCGUGGAGGAUGAAGAUUUUCGGAUCGUAAACUCCUGUCGAAUGGGACGAAUAGGUCAUGGCCUAACACGCUGUGAUCCUGACGGUACCGUUAAAGGAAACCCCGGCUAACUCCGUGCCAGCAGCCGCGGUAAUACGGGGGGGGUAAGCGUUGUUCGGAAUUACUGGGCGUAAAGGGCUCGUAGGCGGCCAGCUAAGUCAGACGUGAAAUCCCUCAGCUUAACUGGGGAACUGCGUCUGAUACUGGAUGGCUUGGAUUCGGGAGAGGAAUGCGGAAUUCCAGGUGUAGCGGUGAAAUGCGUAGAUAUCUGGAGGAACACCGGUGGCGAAGGCGGCAUUCUGGACCGACAUUGACGCUGAGGAGCGAAAGCCAGGGGAGCAAACGGGAUUAGAUACCCCGGUAGUCCUGGCCCUAAACGAUGAAUGCUUGGUGU
This 608-nucleotide ribosomal RNA is filed under the name uncultured soil bacterium. RNAcentral's name for it is "bacterial SSU rRNA". It matches the Rfam family "Bacterial small subunit ribosomal RNA", at positions 224 to 823 of the family's 1533-position model. The record is from RNAcentral.